CUAUGGACGAAAGCAGAAUGGAUGCAACUUUUAGAGAAAAAGGAAGAGAAUACUUCAGUCUGACAAAUGAAAGGAAGAAGCGAAGUGUCAGAGAAUGAUAAUUUGCUUGCAGAGGCUAAUGUGUUCUGGAUGGCAAAAUUUGGGCCACAAAAUGCUAAUUCCUAACCUAACACCAUGACAGCAAUC
Molecule: long non-coding RNA, 186 nt
Filed under: Mustela putorius furo (domestic ferret)
Lineage: Eukaryota; Metazoa; Chordata; Mammalia; Carnivora; Mustelidae
Description: lncRNA (ENSMPUG00000027414.1)
Source: RNAcentral